AGCGAACGCUGGCGGCAGGCCUAACACAUGCAAGUCGAACGAACUCUUCGGAGUUAGUGGCGGACGGGUGAGUAACACGUGGGAACGUGCCUUUUGGUUCGGAAUAACUCAGGGAAACUUGUGCUAAUACCGAAUGUGCCCUUCGGGGGAAAGAUUUAUCGCCAUUAGAGCGGCCCGCGUCUGAUUAGCUAGUUGGUGAGGUAACGGCUCACCAAGGCGACGAUCAGUAGCUGGUCUGAGAGGAUGACCAGCCACACUGGGACUGAGACACGGCCCAGACUCCUACGGGAGGCAGCAGUGGGGAAUCUUGCGCAAUGGGCGAAAGCCUGAUGCAGCCAUGCCGCGUGAAUGAUGAAGGUCUUAGGAUUGUAAAAUUCUUUCACCGGGGACGAUAAUGACGGUACCCGGAGAAGAAGCCCCGGCUAACUUCGUG
Molecule: ribosomal RNA, 433 nt
Filed under: uncultured bacterium
Lineage: Bacteria
Description: partial 16S ribosomal RNA
Rfam family: Bacterial small subunit ribosomal RNA
Source: RNAcentral